GACGAACGCUGGCGGCGUGCUUAACACAUGCAAGUCGAACGAUGAAGCCGGAGCUUGCUCUGGUGAAUUAGUGGCGAACGGGUGAGUAACACGUGAGCAACCUGCCCUUGACUCUGGGAUAACUGCGGGAAACUGUAGCUAAUACCGGAUACGACCCUCGGAGGCAUCUCCUGGGGGUGGAAAGAAUUUCGGUCAAGGAUGGACUCGCGGCCUAUCAGCUAGUUGGUGAGGUAAAGGCUCACCAAGGCGACGACGGGUAGCCGGCCUGAGAGGGUGACCGGCCACACUGGGACUGAGACACGGCCCAGACUCCUACGGGAGCCAGCAGUGGGGAAUAUUGCACAAUGGGCGCAAGCCUGAUGCAGCAACGCCGCGUGAGGGAUGACGGCCUUCGGGUUGUAAACCUCUUUUAGCAGGGAAGAAGCGAAAGUGACGGUACCUGCAGAAAAAGCACCGGCUAACUACGUGCCAGCAGCCGCAGUAA
This 484-nucleotide ribosomal RNA is filed under the name uncultured bacterium. RNAcentral's name for it is "partial 16S ribosomal RNA". It matches the Rfam family "Bacterial small subunit ribosomal RNA", at positions 28 to 523 of the family's 1533-position model. The record is from RNAcentral.